This 465-nucleotide ribosomal RNA is filed under the name uncultured bacterium. RNAcentral describes it as "partial 16S ribosomal RNA". It matches the Rfam family "Bacterial small subunit ribosomal RNA", at positions 28 to 506 of the family's 1533-position model. The record is from RNAcentral.
GACGAACGCUGGCGGCGUGCUUAACACAUGCAAGUCGAACGGUAAGGCUCCAGCUUGCUGGGGUACACGAGUGGCGAACGGGUGAGUAACACGUGGGUGACCUGCCCUGCACUUCGGGAUAAGCCUGGGAAACUGGGUCUAAUACCGGAUAGGACCAUGGUGUGGAUACUGUGGUGGAAAGUUUUUUCGGUGUGGGAUGGGCCCGCGGCCUAUCGGCUUGUUGGUGGGGUAAUGGCCUACCAAGGCGGCGACGGGUAGCCGGCCUGAGAGGGUGGACGGCCACAUUGGGACUGAGACACGGCCCAGGCUCCUACGGGAGGCAGCAGUGGGGAAUAUUGCACAAUGGGCGGAAGCCUGAUGCAGCGACGCCGCGUGGGGGAUGACGGCCUUCGGGUUGUAAACUCCUUUCACCAUCGACGAAGGGUUUCUGACGGUAGAUGGAGAAGAAGCACCGGCUAACUACGU